RNAcentral lists this ribosomal RNA (440 nucleotides) under uncultured bacterium. RNAcentral's name for it is "partial 16S ribosomal RNA". It matches the Rfam family "Bacterial small subunit ribosomal RNA", at positions 338 to 795 of the family's 1533-position model. The record is from RNAcentral.
CCUACGUGGUGCAGCAGUGGGGAAUAUUGCACAAUGGGGGAAACCCUGAUGCAGCGACGCCGCGUGUGGGAAGACGGUCCUCUGGAUUGUAAACCACUGUCCCCAGGGACGAAGAUGACGGUACCUGGGGAGGAAGCUCCGGCUAACUACGUGCCAGCAGCCGCGGUAAUACGUAGGGAGCGAGCGUUGUCCGGAAUUACUGGGUGUAGAGGGAGCGUAGGCGGGGAUGCAAGUUGGGUGUCAAAACUACCGGCUCAACUGGUAGUCGCACUCAAAACUGCAGCUCUUGAGUGAAGUAGAGGCAGGCGGAAUUCCUAGUGUAGCGGUGAAAUGCGUAGAUAUUAGGGGGAACACCAGUGGCGAAGGCGGCCUGCUGGGCUUUUACUGACGCUGAGGCUCGAAAGUGUGGGGAGCAAACAGGAUUAGAUACCCUGGUAGUC